RNAcentral lists this transfer RNA (73 nucleotides) under Cotesia glomerata. Its description in RNAcentral is "tRNA-Thr". The record is from RNAcentral. Lineage: Eukaryota; Metazoa; Arthropoda; Insecta; Hymenoptera; Braconidae.
GUCUCUGAUAGCUCAACUGGUAGAGCCUUCGGUGCGUAACUAAAUGAUCUGAGUUCGAAUCCCGGUUCAGACU